RNAcentral lists this ribosomal RNA (405 nucleotides) under Nakaseomyces glabratus. RNAcentral describes it as "SSU rRNA". It matches the Rfam family "Eukaryotic small subunit ribosomal RNA", at positions 582 to 992 of the family's 1831-position model. The record is from RNAcentral. Lineage: Eukaryota; Fungi; Ascomycota; Saccharomycetes; Saccharomycetales; Saccharomycetaceae.
AUUCCAGCUCCAAUAGCGUAUAUUAAAGUUGUUGCAGUUAAAAAGCUCGUAGUUGAACUUUGGGCCUGGGUGGCCGGUCCGAUUUUUUCGUGUACUGGAAUGCAUCCGGGCCUUUCCUUCUGGCUAACCCCAAGUCCUUGUGGCUUGGCGGCGAACCAGGACUUUUACUUUGAAAAAAUUAGAGUGUUCAAAGCAGGCGUAUUGCUCGAAUAUAUUAGCAUGGAAUAAUGGAAUAGGACGUUUGGUUCUAUUUUGUUGGUUUCUAGGACCAUCGUAAUGAUUAAUAGGGACGGUCGGGGGCAUCAGUAUUCAAUUGUCAGAGGUGAAAUUCUUGGAUUUAUUGAAGACUAACUACUGCGAAAGCAUUUGCCAAGGACGUUUUCAUUAAUCAAGAACGUAAAGUUA